Molecule: non-coding RNA, 422 nt
Organism: Xiphophorus couchianus (Monterrey platyfish)
Lineage: Eukaryota; Metazoa; Chordata; Actinopteri; Cyprinodontiformes; Poeciliidae
Source: the annotation of a RefSeq genome assembly
GUUCAGCUGGCUACCCUUUACCAGGGCAUCAGAUCUCUUUGUUUCAGCUUCACCAACCAUGUUCUCUGUCACCCUGAUGCUGCUGCUGUUAGCAGCUGGAUCAGGUGUUCGAUCUGAGACACUGAGACAGCCAGCCUCUGUGUCUGUGCUGCCUGGUGAACGACUGCAGAUCACCUGUCAUGUCUCUUAUUCUGUUAGCACAUAUGUAACAGCCUGGAUCAGACAGCCUGCAGGAAAAGGACUGGAGUGGAUUAGUAGUGACACAACUAUUAAAGAUUCAUUAACCAACAAGUUCAGUGCAAAUCUAGAUUAUUCAAACAACAUAGUGACUCUGAAUGGAGAGAAUAUGCAGCCGGAGGACUCUGCUGUGUAUUACUGUGCCAGAGAUCCACAGUGACACAAAUCAGCAGCAGACAUGAACA